CUGAGCAUACAGUGCUUAUUAAUAUACGUUGGGUAAGGGCAAAACCUGUUAUAUAUAAUUGUCCUAAGUAUACCUACCUUAGCCUAGCUUUUAACCAUUCGGAAGUGAGACAUGUAUUUCAUAUGUUAAACUGGUUGUCAAAGUUUAUUGAGAGAAAACCAGAGAUAGACUGACAUGUUUCAGUCAAAGUAGAAGAUAAGCUCAAUCUCUCACUGGUAGAGUUGUAUUUAAAUAUUAUCGGCACAUUUUUCCAGUUGUUUUACGGCAAAAUGUUUUAUUCCACAUUCAUCUUCCCAAACCGGUGUUCACUGUUGUUGCCUUUCGUGGUUCCGUUUUCUUAUUUCAAGUUAUCGUGAAUCUCUGACUAGAAAAGUGAUCAUCUAUCUUACAUUUCUGUUAGUACUGCAGUAAAGAGCCCCAUCCAUUACACUUUCAUUACCAGCUUAAAUUAAGGCAAACAAUGAGGAAGUAUCUCUUUCAUGGAUUCAGGUGGACCUGAGCAUCAAACCUUUCAGGCCUUCGUAACCAAUCCUAGCUUUCUUUAGUCUCAGCAACUUGAACCAGCUGAUGGACGUGAGAGUAUAAUCAUCAGAGCUCUAAUCUCGGCAAUGGUUGGACUGACUUCAGCCUCAAACCAUCCACACUUGAGUGACCAGUCCAAGUGAAUUUAAGCCUCAAACAAUCUUGCUUGAGUGACCAACCCUAGCUGUAGUCUCAGCAACAUGAACCAGCAGGUGGACUUGAGCCUCGAACCAUCCAGGAUUGAGUGACCAACCCUAGCUCUAGUCUCAGCAACAUGAACAAUGAGGCGGACUUGAGCCUCAGACCAUCCAGGCAUGAUCUGAGUGACCAGUUCUAGCUUUUGAGUCUCUUACAAGACUUGAUGCUGCAAUUACAGUGGUCUGCCAUCUUGAAGAAUCAGUUUUCUUGAUGAUGUGUGGGCAGAAGUGGUUCCUGUCUGCCGUGUUAUUUGCCGUGGCUUCAAUUGACAAACCUUGACAGCACAAACCAGAUGCUACAAUGCUUAAAGAUUAGAUUUGCAGAAAAAAUGUGUACAGACUAUCUUCUGAUGGUAAACAUGGUUUAAGGCUUUUUGUCUUGUUUGGGACAGUUGUAGGCUUUCUGGAAUAGGGAAUACGAGUAGAUGUUUAAGUUAACGUUGAACAUGCACAACUUCAUUUUACACAACAAAUCCAUAUUUUUAGAACUGCUUUUCAGGGUGUAUUUUAGUCUAUUGAAAAAGAAAUCAAGCAUGUUUUAAGUUACUUUUGCUAGAAAAAAAGUCACAUCUGAGUAAAUAAAAAUUACAAAGCAUUAGACAAAGUGUUCACUCAAGUGGAGACAUUUCAAAAUGUCCAUCAUACGUACUGUUCAUGAUUGCACAAAGUAAUCACUAUUGUUCGUUUUUUAAGCUGUGAAAUAGGACUCAUAAAUUCUUGAGAAAUCUGGAGAAAGUAACUGAUGUACCAUUUUUACUGCUUUUCAUUUUUUCCUGAAUUUUUGAGAUUUUUUGCAUAAUUUUCGUCAGAUUGUAGGAACUUCUUAUUCAAAAUAAGCAAGUACUUGUAUUGCCCACCAUGUUCCUUGAACGUAUAUAGCAAGAUAGACUUAGAGGCUUACUACCAAACUUUCUAAUGGCCCAAAAAAGUUAAAAAU
Acanthaster planci (crown-of-thorns starfish) is the source of this 1656-nucleotide long non-coding RNA. The record is from RefSeq and is a predicted model, not a curated record. NCBI's taxonomy places the organism in Eukaryota, Metazoa, Echinodermata, Asteroidea, Valvatida, Acanthasteridae.